Molecule: long non-coding RNA, 2741 nt
Filed under: Macaca mulatta (Rhesus monkey)
Lineage: Eukaryota; Metazoa; Chordata; Mammalia; Primates; Cercopithecidae
Description: lncRNA (ENSMMUG00000064872.1)
Source: RNAcentral
AUGAAGAAAUUAAGGCCCACGGAGGGGAGAGGAGUUCGUGAAUGGAGGGAAACGGGUAACUAUAUUUUUCCUCUAGCAGCUCCUCAGCUGAGGGAAAGUCCUGCCUGUGGGAAGGAAUCAAGGAAGAGAUAUUGGGAAACUGAGGCCAGAGCACUGUUAGGACUCACCAGGACAAGGGCCCUGGGUUCCCGUGAGCCUGUGUUCCUGCUCCCCCGCCUACUUUCUGUUCCAGCUCUUUCUCCAAUCUCCUUUCCUUUGCCUGUAGACCUCAGCUCUGCUCUCAGGACAUCCCAGAUAGCAGCCCUGAUGCUCAGAACAGACUUUUCUCCCCAGCGCACAUCCGCUUUUGCACCUCAAGAAGAUCCAGGGAUAAAGAAGGUCAUUUCUGAGCAUCUCUGAGUCAACCCCACACCUCUGCAUGGGCAGCCUAACAGCAGUGUGGGGACUAGAGCCCCACCUCUAGGGACCUCUGCGGUGGAAUAGAGGGGCUGGGCUCCCUGCGGGCUCUGCCCCUCAGGGUCUGUCCACACCAGCCCACUUCCUCUUCUGGGAGAGGUCAGACAGCCCCUGGGAAGUCUCCAGACCUUCUUACGCUGUGAGAAGAUGGACUUUCCUCCUCUGGUUCUCCCCUUUUACUGGACAUGCAGGCCCAAUGUAGGAAGGCUGGGGCCUAUCACUCUUCAACAGCCCUCAGGUGUCAUCAGCGCAGGACCAGGAUUCAUUCAGCGUCUAUUUACUGAGAGCUCUGUAAUAAGAAUGUGACAAAUAAUAACUGGACACAUAUCAAAUGCAUGCCUCAUCUUACAAAGUACUCUUGCAAUUAGUGUUUUGAGGGAUCCUAGUGACGAUGCUGUAAAGUAGGGAGGCCUUAGGUGGAGAAGCUGAGGCCCAGGGAUCUGAAGUGGCAGAACCAGGAAUCACACCACAGGGUCUUCCCAUAUCCUCCUGCUACUUUAGUCCUGCCCCAUGCACAUGCACUGAGCAGGAGGCGGGCUUCCAGCCACAUGCUCGACUGUCACAGGACACCAGCAGGGAGGUAUUUCCCAUGGGACAGGGAGCAGAGAACAGUAUUUCCCAUGGGCAGUGGUGGAUGUAGGAGGCUGGGAGACCAGGACUUGUGGAUUUAGGGUAGUGGCAUGCCAGAGCCACACCUGUCUGCAAGGGACUGGAGACAGGCUGAGGAGCAGGGAGGGUACGUGGAGCACUGGUGCUGUGCCUCCUUUUACCAUAGCUGUUUGCUUAGACAAUACUCAGCUGUCCUGCUGAGCUCAGGCUGGCACCAGCGGGAUUGGGUCUGUUGCCUGGGGAUUGAGGCUGGCUACAGGACCCGCUCCUCCAGUUCUGGCCAAGGACCAGUGGCCUUGGCCAUUACUGGCCUCCUCGCUGAUGCCAGGGUUGAACAAGGCCUUUCCAGUCUGCCCAUUGUAUCUGGGGCCUGCCCUUUCUCCUCAACCCCGUCUGACCGUCUCUGGGGGCCCCUGCACCCACCUUCAUGACUCCUGGCCAACCCUCCCAGCAGCUCUUGCAGCAUAUGCAACUUCUGCUGCUGGUGAGCUCAGGCAGCUGGACUCAUGGGCAGGCAAGAACACGGUGCCCUGCACUGGAGGGCAGGCACAGGCUGUGCCAACUGCACCCACCUCUCCCAGACGUAGGCCUGGCAGGGAGGCCUGUGAUGUAGGCAAGGACUCUCUGGAAAGAGUGAUGAGGAGGCCCAGCCUGCUGAGCACUCCAAACCCUUCUUCUACUCUCCUGUCCUUUCACUGAGAGGAGAUCUAAAGAAUAAAGUUUGGUUGGGUGCCAUGGCUCAUGCUUGUAAUCCCAGCACUUUAGGAGGCCAAGGCGGGCGGAUCACCUGAGGUUGGGAGUUCAAGGCCAGCCUCAUCAACAUGGAGAAACCCCGUCUCUACUAAAAAUACAAAAUUAACCAGGCAUGGUGGCACUUGCCUGUAAUCCCAGCUACUCAAGAGGCUGAGGCAGGAGAAUCACUUGAACCCAGGAGGCGGAGGUUGCAGUGAGCUGAGAUCACGCCAUUGCCCGCCAGCCUAGGCAACAAGAGCGAAACUCCACCUCAAAAAAAAAAAAAAGGAAUAAAGUUUAACUCCUGACUCUGCCCCAACCCGGAACCAAUUCCUAGAACCACCUGAAUCACUUUUUUCUUUUUCUUUUUUUUUUUUGAGACAGAGUUUCACUCUGUGCCCAAGCUGGAGUGCAGUGGCAUGAUCUCAGCUCACUACAGCCUCUGCCUCCCGAGUUCAAGCGAUUCUCAUGCCUCAGCCUCCCAAGUAGCUGGGAUUAUAGGCACCCACCACCACGCUAAUUUUUGUAUUUUUAGUAGAGACUGGGUUUCACCCUGUUGGCCAGGCUGGUCUAGAACUCCUGACCUCAGGUCAUUGGCCUGCCUCGGCCACCCAAAAUGCUGGGAUUAUAGGCAUAAGCCACCACACCCGGCUCAUUUGAAUCACUUUUUUUUCUUUUUUUUUUUUUGAGAUGGAGUUUCGCUCUAAUUGCCCACGCUGGAGUGCAAUGGCACGAUCUUGGCUCACCACAACCUCUGCCUCCCGAGUUAAAGCAAUUCUUCUGCCUCAGCCUCCUGAGUAGCUGGGAUUACGGGCAUGCACCACCAUGCCCAGCAAUUUUAUAUUUUUAGUAGAGACAAGGUUUCUCCAUGUUGGUUAGGCUGGUCUCAAACUCCCAGCCUCAGGUGAUCUGCCAGCCUCGGCCUCCCAAAGUGCUGGGAUUAC